UGGCUCAGGAUGAACGCUAGCGGCAGGCUUAACACAUGCAAGUCGAGGGGUAGGGUUCUUCGGAACCUGAGACCGGCGCACGGGUGCGUAACGCGUAUGCAAUCUACCUUUUACAGAGGGAUAGCCCAGAGAAAUUUGGAUUAAUACCUCAUAGCAUAGCAGCUUCGCAUGAAGCCACUAUUAAAGUCACAACGGUAAAAGAUGAGCAUGCGUCCCAUUAGCUAGUUGGUAAGGUAACGGCUUACCAAGGCUACGAUGGGUAGGGGUCCUGAGAGGGAGAUCCCCCACACUGGUACUGAGACACGGACCAGACUCCUACGGGAGGCAGCAGUGAGGAAUAUUGGACAAUGGGCGCAAGCCUGAUCCAGCCAUGCCGCGUGCAGGAUGACGGUCCUAUGGAUUGUAAACUGCUUUUAUACGAGAAGAAACACUACUUCGUGAAGUAGNCUUGACGGUAUCGUAAAAAUAAGGGAUCGUGCU
RNAcentral lists this ribosomal RNA (480 nucleotides) under Flavobacteriaceae bacterium JJ-4. Its description in RNAcentral is "bacterial SSU rRNA". It matches the Rfam family "Bacterial small subunit ribosomal RNA", at positions 20 to 509 of the family's 1533-position model. The record is from RNAcentral. Lineage: Bacteria; Pseudomonadati; Bacteroidota; Flavobacteriia; Flavobacteriales; Flavobacteriaceae.